UACAGAGGGGGCAAGCGUUGUUCGGAAUUACUGGGCGUAAAGGGCGCGUAGGCGGCCGCCUAAGUCAGACGUGAAAUCCCUCGGCUCAACCGGGGAACUGCGUCUGAUACUGGGUGGCUUGAAUCCGGGAGAGGGAUGCGGAAUUCCAGGUGUAGCGGUGAAGUGCGUAGAUAUCUGGAGGAACACCGGUGGUGAAGGCGGCAUCCUGGACCGGCAUUGACGCUGAGGCGCGAAAGCCAGGGGAGCAAACGGG
This 253-nucleotide ribosomal RNA is filed under the name uncultured bacterium. RNAcentral's name for it is "partial 16S ribosomal RNA". It matches the Rfam family "Bacterial small subunit ribosomal RNA", at positions 524 to 776 of the family's 1533-position model. The record is from RNAcentral.